AUUGAACGCUGGCGGCAGGCCUAACACAUGCAAGUCGAGCGAGCGGCGGACGGGUGAGUAAUGUAUGGGGACUGCCCGAUAGAGGGGGAUAACUACUGGAAACGGUGACUAAUACCGCAUACUAUCGGAUAACCCAUAUGGGAUUAGCUAGUAGGUGGGGUAAAGGCACACCUGGGCGACGAUCUCUAGCUGGGCUGAGAGGAGGGUCAGCCACCCUGGGACGUAGACACGGCCCAGACUCCUACGGAGGCAGCAGGGGGGAAUAUUGCACAAUGGGCGCAAGCCUGACGCAGUCAUGCGGAGUGUAUGACGAAGGCCCUAGGGUUGUAAAGUACUUUCAGCGGGGAGGCGUUACCCGCAGAAGAAGCACCGGCUAACUCCGUGCCAGCCGCCGCGGUAAUAC
Molecule: ribosomal RNA, 403 nt
Filed under: uncultured bacterium
Lineage: Bacteria
Description: partial 16S ribosomal RNA
Rfam family: Bacterial small subunit ribosomal RNA
Source: RNAcentral